Non-coding RNA from Podarcis muralis (Common wall lizard), 131 nucleotides. Lineage: Eukaryota; Metazoa; Chordata; Lepidosauria; Squamata; Lacertidae. The record is from RefSeq and is a predicted model, not a curated record.
UCCUCCUGAGUCAGGCAGAGGAGAGGAAGCAGGUGGAGAAGAAGCAGGAAAAUGAUCUGGUUGCAGAAAUGGGCUCCAAUUACUCUGAGGCAGAGAGGACUCGGAUGGACACCAGAGAGAGUUCACUAGGU